UACGUAGGGUGCGAGCGUUGCCCGGAUUUAUUGGGCGUAAAGGGCGCGUAGGCGGCUCUGCACGUCCGUUGUGAAAUCGCCCGGCUCAACUGGGCGGGGUCAGCGGAUACGGCGGAGCUUGAGCAAGCUAGGGGGCAAUGGAAUUCCCGGUGUAGUGGUGAAAUGCGUAGAGAUCGGGAGGAACACCAGUGGCGAAGGCGGCCCUCUGGGCCGGGCCUGACGCUGAGACGCGAGGGCGUGGGGAGCGAACGGG
Molecule: ribosomal RNA, 253 nt
Filed under: uncultured bacterium
Lineage: Bacteria
Description: partial 16S ribosomal RNA
Rfam family: Bacterial small subunit ribosomal RNA
Source: RNAcentral